CAGCGCCACGAGUAGCAACCGCUUUUAUUGGGCCUAAAGCGUCCGUAGCCGGCUAAUUAAGUCUCUUGUGAAAUCGUUAAGCUUAACUUAACGGCGUGCAAGAGGUACUGGUUAGCUUGGAACCGGGAGGAGUCAGAGGAAUUCCGGGGGGAGCGGUAAAAUGUUUUAAUCCCUGGAGGACCACCGGUGGCGAAGGCGUCUGACUAGAACGGAUUCGACGGUGAGGGACGAAAGCUAGGGGAGCAAAACGGAUUAGAUACCCGAGUAGUCC
Molecule: ribosomal RNA, 271 nt
Filed under: uncultured archaeon
Lineage: Archaea
Description: partial 16S ribosomal RNA
Rfam family: Archaeal small subunit ribosomal RNA
Source: RNAcentral